This 394-nucleotide long non-coding RNA is filed under the name Prunus persica (peach). Its description in RNAcentral is "long non-coding RNA (PPER_LNC006238)". Lineage: Eukaryota; Viridiplantae; Streptophyta; Magnoliopsida; Rosales; Rosaceae. The record is from RNAcentral.
AUUAACCAAAAUACCGAUUACCAAACAAAUCAGUUUCCCACCAAUAUCACUACUACACCCAAUAUCACAAUAUCAAAACGAGUCCAAGUUUUCAACAAUACGCCAUAACCACCAUUCAAAAUCCCACAUAUUUAACAUUGGCAAACAACUCCAGUAAUACUAUCCAGUACAGUAAGGCCACAACCAAAACAUACAUCCAAACCCAUAAUUCCCAUACACUUAACGUGCAUACACAACCUUGGGAAGGUCCUAAAUCCAUUCUAGUACCUUCCCAAAGAAUGAGACCGUCACAAAAGACCCUUGGUCAACAAUUGGUCAAACUCCUCGUUUUUGGUCAACCAGGCCCACGGGGCCCACAACCUCCGAUUUCUGAUCUGAAAGUUCCUAUGAGGUC